CCUGUCGGUGUAACUGGCAUGUCGCGGCAUGUCCUGUCGGUGGUGAACGGGAUCCCCGGUACUGUUGAGGCUUAAUUGUCUUAACAUGUAUCGUGUGUGUUUCCGUUUGCCGAUCUCUCCUACUCCGGUGCUCUUAAACGAGUGUCGAGGUAGGCCGACACGUUCACUUUGAACAAAUUAGAGUGCUUAAAGCAGGCUGAAAUAUCUGCCUGAAUAGUGGUGCAUGGAAUGAUAAAACAGGACCUCGGUUCUAUUUUGUUGGUUUUAGGAAUAUGAGGUAAUGAUCAAUGUGGACUGGCGGGGGCAUUCGUAUUGCGACGUUAGAGGUGAAAUUCUUGGAUCGUCGCAAGACGCACUAGAGCGAAAGCAUUUGCCAAGUAUGUCUUAAUUGAUCAAGAACGAAAGUUAGAGGUUCGAAGGCGAUCAGAUACCGCCCUAGUUCUAACCAUAAACGAUGCCAGCCAGCAAA
RNAcentral lists this ribosomal RNA (469 nucleotides) under Lestomerus affinis. RNAcentral describes it as "SSU rRNA". It matches the Rfam family "Eukaryotic small subunit ribosomal RNA", at positions 636 to 1053 of the family's 1831-position model. Lineage: Eukaryota; Metazoa; Arthropoda; Insecta; Hemiptera; Reduviidae. The record is from RNAcentral.